GGGGUCAGCGGGUUACAUCGCCGUCACGCCUUGGCCACAUGCUCCUUCCCCGCUGGGUAUUCCAAUGAGGAAAAUGACAAGUUGGAAAAAAAAAUCUUUACAAAGUUUAAGAGACUCCAUCCGUCUUUGCAAAAGGGAUGGCCUGGCCAGCGAGAGGAAUCCUGUGACCUUGUGAUGUCAGCUGCGCUCAGAAUGCUCGUCUGGACAACCCAAACCAGCCUCUUGGGAGCCGAUGUGCGAUCUCCAUACCCUACGGUAGUCAGAACAUGGACAACUUCUCACUCCUCAGCAUUUCUGGACCUUGAAUCUCCUCCUCAUCCCUGAGCGCUUUUCCUGACAUUAUGUCCUCACGUGCCACCAGCUUGCCAGUAGAUCUGAGGAAAAGUGAUCUGGUUGGCCCAUUUACAGCUAGAAGAUGUCAGUGCUCAGUUCACGACGUCCAAGGUGUCACUGAUUACCUAGUCCUCCCUGAGUGUCCAUUACAGGGAAGGAAUGAAGAUAACAGAAGGUAUAUCACAGGAAGACUGAACUGCAGGGAAAGCUGCAGUGCAAAAACUGCAUUCUAAAGAAGAGUAUCCCAAGCCAGCACAAUGUUAUCCUUGAGUCAGUGCUUUACCUGAAAACCACAUGCCUCUGUGAUAAGACACAAGGUAGAGUUACAUGAAUUGUGUGCUUAGUACCCAUAGCGGUUCCUGUUUGUCAUUAUUUUGUAGGAUUUAUCUGUGCUUGGAUAAGAUUAUAUGUACUUAGAUGUGAAACUGGUAGAGGCUAUGAAGGAAGGCAUGACCAGCAUAUAACUAGAAAAU
RNAcentral lists this long non-coding RNA (806 nucleotides) under Vulpes vulpes (red fox). RNAcentral's name for it is "lncRNA (ENSVVUG00000011788.1)". The record is from RNAcentral. Lineage: Eukaryota; Metazoa; Chordata; Mammalia; Carnivora; Canidae.